GUCACCUGCAGUUAAACCGCCAUCAUUAAGGUUAAACUGACGAGGCAUUGUAUCUUGCCAAGCCCAUAAAGAUGGUAAGGUAUCAGAAGUAGCUGGAGUUUUUUUUAUGCUCCCAUCCUGAGUACUUUCACUUCCCUGUGAGCUAAGAGGUUUGCCAACACUUUUUGCAACAACAGAAAUCUUCCUCAACCCGUCUUUCAGAGCACUAACCGCUGCAUCAAAGGUCUCUGCAGAAACUGCCCCUUCUUCUGCAUAUCUUAAAGCUUCCAGACAUAGGUAGUUGAAACGUGAAGUGAGUGAAUUAAUUCCUUGUUUAACGAUGUCUUCAUCCGAUCCUUGUCCAACUUUUGCAUUUCUU
This 358-nucleotide unclassified non-coding RNA is filed under the name Hevea brasiliensis (rubber tree). The record is from RNAcentral. Lineage: Eukaryota; Viridiplantae; Streptophyta; Magnoliopsida; Malpighiales; Euphorbiaceae.